UGGGCCAAAUUGAAGGAAUAGGUUGAUC
Molecule: non-coding RNA, 28 nt
Filed under: Homo sapiens (human)
Lineage: Eukaryota; Metazoa; Chordata; Mammalia; Primates; Hominidae
Source: RNAcentral